Molecule: ribosomal RNA, 492 nt
Filed under: uncultured bacterium
Lineage: Bacteria
Description: partial 16S ribosomal RNA
Rfam family: Bacterial small subunit ribosomal RNA
Source: RNAcentral
AUUGAACGCUGGCGGCAUGCUUUACACAUGCAAGUCGAACGGUAACAGGCCUUCGGGUGCUGACGAGUGGCGAACGGGUGGGUAAUGCAUCGGAACGUACCCAGAGGUGGGGGAUAACGCAGCGAAAGCUGUGCUAAUACCGCAUGUGAUCUGAGGAUGAAAGCGGGGGACCGAGCAGCAAUGUUUGGCCUCGCGCCUUUGGAGCGGCCGAUGUCGGAUUAGCUAGUUGGUGGGGUAAAGGCCUACCAAGGCGACGAUCCGUAGCUGGUCUGAGAGGACGACCAGCCACACUGGGACUGAGACACGGCCCAGACUCCUACGGGAGGCAGCAAUGGGGAAUUUUGGACAAUGGGCGCAAGCCUGAUCCAGCAAUGCCGCGUGCGGGAAGAAGGCCUUCGGGUUGUAAACCGCUUUUGGCAGGAACGAAACGGUGUCCGCUAAUACCGGGCGCUAAUGACGGUACCUGCAGAAUAAGCACCGGCUAACUACGUG